UCGGUCCCUCAGGAGCUGCAGCUCGACACACCUGGCGCAGAUAUGGCCAUCCCGAAGGCCGGGAGACUCCAGGAACCCCCACAUCUGACACUGAGCACAGAAAACUGGCCUCACACACGUACUACCUACCUCGCCUCAUCCCGUUACCACCUAAGCCUGUUGAGCCCAAGCCCUGUCACUCUGCUGCCUCUCACUCCACUGCCCGCCGGAUACGGCGGUCUUCUUUUUAAACCUUUCAUGCUCUACUGGCUGAUGUCACAUGCCUGCGCAGUCUCGCCUCUCUUUAAACCAAGUAGUAAAAAACUCCCUUCGCUCCAAAAAAUCAGCAGUUCAUUCACAGUCUUCUUGGUCCAGAUUAAAAACCGUUGAAGAUUCCUUGCCUUUUUAAACCUUUCGCGCUCUACUGGCAGACGUUACAUGCCUGUGCAGUCUCAUCUCUCUUUAACACGACUAGUAAAAAAACUCCCUUUGCUUUGAAAAAUCAGCAAUUCACUCGCAGCUUUCUUGCUCCAAAUUCUUCUAUAUCUCUAUCAUUACCUAGUUUUUUGAACUGUUCGCAACCCCUUCUUUUUUUCUUGAUGAAUUUUAAAACAGCCUUUGUACACCACGGUUCCAGUACCCUACCAUCCUUUCCCUGUCUCAUUGGAACGUACCUAUGCAGAAUUCCACACAAAUAUCCUCUGAACAUUUGCCACAUUUCAUCUGUACUUUUCCCUGAGAACAUCUGUUUCCAAUUUAUGCUUUCUAGUUCCGGCCUGAUAGCCUCAAAUUUCCCCUUAUUCCAAUUAAACAUUUCCCUAACUUGUCUGUUCCUACCCCUCGCCACUGCUAUGGUAAAGGAGAUAGAAUUGUGAUCAUUAUCUCCAAAAUGCUCUCCCACUGAGAGACCUGACACCUGACCAGGUUCAUUUCCCAAUAUCAGAUCAAGUACAGCCUCUCCACUUUUAGGCUUGUCUACAUAUUGUGUCAAGAAACCUUCCUGCACACACUUAACAAACUCCACCCCAUCUAAACCCUUCGCUCUAGGGAGAUGCCGAUCGAUAUUUGGGAAAUUAAAAUCUCCCAUCACGACAACUCUGAUAUUAUUACACCUUUCGAGGAUCAGUUUCCCUAUCUGCUCCUCAAUGUCCCUGUUACUAUUAGGCGGCCUAUAAAAACACCCAGUAAAGUUAUUGACCACUUCCUUUUCCUAACCUCCACCCACAGAGACUCCAUGCACAAUCCCUCCAUAGCAUCCAUCCUUUCUGCCGCUGUGACACUAUCUCUGAUCAACAGUGCCACGCCCCCACCUCUUUUGCCUCCCUCCCUGUCCUUUCUAAAACAUCUAAAACCCAGCACUUGAAGUAACCAUUCCUGUCCCUGAGCCAUCCAAGUCUCUGUAAAGGCCACAACAUCAUAUCUCCAAGUACUGAUCCAUGCUCUAAGCUCAUCCACUUUGUUCAUAAUACCCCUUGCAUUAAAAUAGACACAUUUCAAACCAUCGGUCUGAGCACAUACGUUCUCUAUCACCUGCCUAUCCUCCUUUUUGCACUGUCUCCAAGCUUUCUCUAUUUGUGAGACAACCUCCUUUUACUCCUUCACUUCAGUUCGGUUUCCAUCCUCCAGUAAUUCUAGUUUAAACUCUCCUCAAGAGCCUUAGCAAAACUCCCCACCAGGAUAUUGGUCCCCCUGGGAUUCAAGUGCAAGCCGUCCUUUUUGUACAGGUCACACCUGCCUCAAAAGAGGUCCCAAUGAUCCAGAAAUCUGAAUCCCUGUCCCCUGCUCCAAUCCCUCAGCCACACAUUUAUCCUCCACCUCAUCCUAUUCCUAUACUCACCGUCACGUUGCACAGGCAGUAAUCCCGAGAUUACUAUCUUUGAGGUCCUGCUUCUCAACUUUCUUCCUACCUCCUUAUAAUCUGUUUUCAGGACCUCCUCCCUUUUCCUACCUACAUUGUUGGUACCAAUAUGUACUCCAACCUUUGGCUGUUGUCCUUCCCACGUCAAGGUAUUGCGGACACAAUCAGAAACAUCCUGGACCCUGGCACCUGGGCGGCAACCACCAUUCGCAUUCCUUUCCUGCGUCCACAGAAUCGCCUCUCUGCCCUCUUAACUAUAGAGUCACCUAUCACUACUGCCUUCCUCCUCCUUUCCCUACCCUUCUGUGCCAGAGGCAUGGCUACUGUUGCUUCCCCCAUGUAGGCCAUCUCUCCCAACAGUACUCAAACAGGAGUACUUAUUGUUAAGGGGACAGCAACUGGGGUACUGUCUAGCACCUGCUUCUUGCCCUUCCCUCUCCUGACUGUGACCCAAUUAUCUGUUUCCCCAGGCUCCGGAGUGACUACCUGCCUACGUCUCCUCUGUAUCAGCUCCUCACUCUGACUGACCAGAUGAAGGUCAUCGAGCUGCAUCUCCAUUUCCUCAACAUGGUCUCUAAGGAGCUGCAGUUCGACACACCCGGUGCAAAUGUGGCUGUUCAGGAGGCUGGGAAUCUCCUGGAUCUCCUACAACUGACACCGAGCACAGAAAUCUGGCCUCACACACAUACUUUCUGUCUGUAUUCUACACAGGCUCCGGAGUGACUACCUGCCUACGUCUCCUCUGUAUCAGCUCCUCACUCUGACUGACCAGAUGAAGGUCAUCGAGCUGCAUCUCCAUUUCCUCAACAUGGUCUCUAAGGAGCUGCAGUUCGACACACCCGGUGCAAAUGUGGCUGUUCAGGAGGCUGGGAAUCUCCUGGAUCUCCUACAACUGACACCGAGCACAGAAAUCUGGCCUCACACACAUACUUUCUGUCUGUAUUCUACACAGCGGAAUAAGCCACUUUUUGGGCUGAGAUCCUUCAUCGAGGCUAGAAAGGAAGGGUAGAAGCCAGAAGAAGAAGUCAAGGAAGAGAAGGAGUACAAGGUGACAGGCAGUGGACCCUUCCUUUCAAAACUUCCAGUGUCCGAUUCUGGGGAAUGCAAGGAGAAACCAGAGGGCUCCCAUACAGAGAUAAAGGAGGAAUUUCUUCAGCCCGAGGCUGGUGAAUCUGUGGAAUUCAUUAUUGAGGUAAUUAUGGUAAGACUUGGCAGUGUGGAGAAUCAGAGGGAUCUAGUGGUUCGAGUCCAUAGGACGCUCAAAGCAGCUGAGCAGGUUGACUAUGUGGUUAAGAAAGCAUACGGUGUAUUGGCCUUCCUCAAUCGUGGAAAUGAACUUAGGAGUUGAGAGGUAAUGUUGCAGCUAUAUAGGACCCUGGUCAGACACCACUUGGAGUACCAUGCUCAGUUCUGAUCACCUCACUACAGGAAGGAUGUGGAAACCAUAAAAAGGGUGCAGAGGAGAUUUACAAGGAUGUUGCCUGGAUUGUGGAGCAUGCCUUAUGAAAACAGGCUGAGUGAACUCGGCCUUUUCUCCUUGGAGCGACAGAGGAUGAGAGGUGACCUGAUCGAGGUGUAUAAGAUGAUGAGAAGCAUUGAUCGAUCGGUUGGUCAGAGGCUUUUUUUCCAGGGCAGAAAUGGCUAACACGAGAGGACAUAGCUUUAGGUGCUUGGAAGUAGGUACAGAAGGGAUGUCAGGGGUAGUAUUUUAUGCAAAGUGUGGUGAGUGCAUGGAAUAGGCUGCUGGCAACAGAAGUCUUUGAUGAGACUUUUGCAUAGGUACAUAGAAGUUAGAAAAAUAGAGGGCUAUGGGUAACCCUUGUAAUUUUGGCACAACUUUGUGGGCCGAAAGGUCUAUAUUGUGCUUUAGGUUUUCUAUGUCUCUAAAACUUUACCCCUCUUUCCUUAAACCUGUGACCUUGAAGCUGCAGACUCCUGAAUCUGGGGGAGAAAGAAUGCAACCAUUGACUACAGCCAAGCCCUAUCAUGAAGUUACUAUCAAACUCUGGAGGGUGACCAGCAGCAUUCCGGGGAAGAAAGCUCCAGCUUAGCCACUAACAUUAUCCACUAGCUUAUCCACAAUGCCGUGCCUCCAGCUGUCAUCAUUGUCUUACGCAGAGAGAUUGGAGAGCUUGGGCUUGUACACACUGGAAUUGAGGAGGUUGAGAGGGGAUCUGAUUGAAACGUUUAAGAUAAAUAAAGGAUUUGAUAGGAUUGAGGCAGGAAAUAUGUUCCAGAUGUUGGGAGAGUCCAGUACCAGAGGGCAUGGAUUGAGAAUAAGAGGUCAGUUAUUUAAAACAGAGUUGAGGAAGAGCUUCUUCUCCCAGAGAGUUGUGGAGGUGUGGAAUGCACUGCCUCGGAAGAUGGUGGAGGUCAAUUCUCUGGAUGCUUUCAAGAAGGAGCUAGAUAGAUAUCUAAUGGAUAGGGGAAUCAAGGGAUAUGGGGACAAGGCAGGGACUGGGUAUUGAUAGUGAAUGAUCAGCCAUGAUCUCAGAAUGGCGGUGCAGACUCGAGGGGCCGAAUGGUCUACUUCUGCACCUAUUGUCUAUUGUUUAUUGAAAUUCCCUCCAGAGUCCUCUUCCUCAGUCCUCCCUCUCUUUUCACUCUAUCACCUACCCAUCAGUCACAGCUUUCUGUCAACUGACACUCGUGGCUUGAUGUCAGCCACGCUCCAAGGAGAAAAGGCCGAGUUCCCUCAGCCUGUUUUCAUAAGGCAUGCGCCACAAUCCAGGCAACAUCCUUGUAAAUUCAUUUCCACGGAUGCUGCCCAACCUGCUGAGUUCCUCCAGCGUGUUGAACGAACUGCUGAGUGAUUGCUCCGCAGUCGGUAGCGAAAAGCUCGCUGGGCCGAGUACUCUGUCACAGUGAGGUAGUCCUUCUGAACUGUGCUCCCAAUGCAGGCUGAACUCAGCACGUCAGACAGCAUCUAUUGAAAUGAAUAAACAGCCGACAUUUCAGGUGGAGACUCUUCAUCAUUCUAA
Molecule: long non-coding RNA, 4818 nt
Organism: Hypanus sabinus (Atlantic stingray)
Lineage: Eukaryota; Metazoa; Chordata; Chondrichthyes; Myliobatiformes; Dasyatidae
Exons: 4
Source: RefSeq, a predicted model, not a curated record